AACGAACGCUGGCGGCAUGCCUAACACAUGCAAGUCGAACGAGACCUUCGGGUCUAGUGGCGCACGGGUGCGUAACGCGUGGGAACCUGCCCUUAGAUUCGGAAUAACUCCCCGAAAGGGGUGCUAAUACCGGAUAAUAUCUUCGGACCAAAGAUUUAUCGCCUUUGGAUGGGCCCGCGUUGGAUUAGCUAGUUGGUAGGGUAAAAGCCUACCAAGGCGACGAUCCAUAGCUGGUCUGAGAGGAUGAUCAGCCACACUGGGACUGAGACACGGCCCAGACUCCUACGGGAGGCAGCAGUGGGGAAUAUUGGACAAUGGGCGAAAGCCUGAUCCAGCAAUGCCGCGUGAGUGAUGAAGGCCUUAGGGUUGUAAAGCUCUUUUACCCGGGAUGAUAAUGACAGUACCGGGAGAAUAAGCUCCGGCUAACUCCGUG
RNAcentral lists this ribosomal RNA (433 nucleotides) under uncultured bacterium. RNAcentral describes it as "partial 16S ribosomal RNA". It matches the Rfam family "Bacterial small subunit ribosomal RNA", at positions 29 to 507 of the family's 1533-position model. The record is from RNAcentral.